GACGAACGCUGGCGGCGUGCCUAAUACAUGCCAGUAGAACGCUGAAGCGAGGAGCUUGCUCUUCUUGGAUGAGUUGCGAACGGGUGAGUAACGCGUAGGUAACCUGCCUUGUAGCGGGGGAUAACUAUUGGAAACGAUAGCUAAUACCGCAUAACAAUGGAUGACACAUGUCAUUUAUUUGAAAGGGGCAAUUGUUCCACUACAAGAUGGACCUGCGUUGUAUUAGCUAGUAGGUGAGGUAAUGGCUCACCUAGGCGACGAUACAUAGCCGACCUGGGAGGGUGAUCGGCCAGACUGGGACUGAGACACGGCCCAGACGCAUACGGGAGGCAGCAGUAGGGAAUCUGCGGCAAGGGGGGCAACCCUGACCGAGCAACGCCGCGUGAGUGAAGAAGGUUUUCGGAUCGUAAAGCUCUGUUGUAAGUCAAGAACGGGUGUGAGAGUGGAAAGUUCACAGUGUGACGGUAGCUUACCAGAAAGGGACGGCUAACUACGUG
Molecule: ribosomal RNA, 497 nt
Filed under: uncultured bacterium
Lineage: Bacteria
Description: partial 16S ribosomal RNA
Rfam family: Bacterial small subunit ribosomal RNA
Source: RNAcentral